RNAcentral lists this ribosomal RNA (752 nucleotides) under Rhodotorula mucilaginosa. RNAcentral's name for it is "eukaryotic LSU rRNA". The stretch from base 517 to 752 matches the Rfam family "Eukaryotic large subunit ribosomal RNA", at positions 1 to 235 of the family's 3401-position model. The record is from RNAcentral. Lineage: Eukaryota; Fungi; Basidiomycota; Microbotryomycetes; Sporidiobolales; Sporidiobolaceae.
GUCCAACUUAACUUGGAGUCCGAACUCUCACUUUCUAACCCUGUGCACUUGUUUGGGAUAGUAACUCUCGCAAGAGAGCGAACUCCUAUUCACUUAUAAACACAAAGUCUAUGAAUGUAUUAAAUUUUAUAACAAAAUAAAACUUUCAACAACGGAUCUCUUGGCUCUCGCAUCGAUGAAGAACGCAGCGAAAUGCGAUAAGUAAUGUGAAUUGCAGAAUUCAGUGAAUCAUCGAAUCUUUGAACGCACCUUGCGCUCCAUGGUAUUCCGUGGAGCAUGCCUGUUUGAGUGUCAUGAAUACUUCAACCCUCCUCUUUCUUAAUGAUUGAAGAGGUGUUUGGUUUCUGAGCGCUGCUGGCCUUUACGGUCUAGCUCGUUCGUAAUGCAUUAGCAUCCGCAAUCGAACUUCGGAUUGACUUGGCGUAAUAGACUAUUCGCUGAGGAAUUCUAGUCUUCGGAUUAGAGCCGGGUUGGGUUAAAGGAAGCUUCUAAUCAGAAUGUCUACAUUUUAAGAUUAGAUCUCAAAUCAGGUAGGACUACCCGCUGAACUUAAGCAUAUCAAUAAGCGGAGGAAAAGAAACUAACAAGGAUUCCCCUAGUAGCGGCGAGCGAAGCGGGAAGAGCUCAAAUUUAUAAUCUGGCACCUUCGGUGUCCGAGUUGUAAUCUCUAGAAAUGUUUUCCGCGUUGGACCGCACACAAGUCUGUUGGAAUACAGCGGCAUAGUGGUGAGACCCCCGUAUAUGGUGCGGAC